UGCGCCCUACGGGGCGCAGCAGUGGGGAAUAUUGCACAAUGGGGGAAACCCUGAUGCAGCGACGCCGCGUGAGCGAAGAAGUAUUUCGGUAUGUAAAGCUCUAUCAGCAGGGAAGAAAAAUGACGGUACCUGAGUAAGAAGCACCGGCUAAAUACGUGCUAGCAGCCGCGGUAAUACGUAUGGUGCAAGCGUUAUCCGGAUUUACUGGGUGUAAAGGGAGCGUAGACGGCAGCGCAAGUCUGAAGUGAAAUCCCAUGGCUUAACCAUG
Molecule: ribosomal RNA, 268 nt
Filed under: uncultured bacterium
Lineage: Bacteria
Description: partial 16S ribosomal RNA
Rfam family: Bacterial small subunit ribosomal RNA
Source: RNAcentral